ACUCCUACGGGAGGCAGCAGUGGGGAAUUUUGGACAAUGGGCGAAAGCCUGAUCCAGCAAUGCCGCGUGAGUGAAGAAGGCCUUCGGGUUGUAAAGCUCUUUUGUCAGGGAAGAAACGGUGAAAGCUAAUAUCUUUUGCUAAUGACGGUACCUGAAGAAUAAGCACCGGCUAACUACGUGCCAGCAGCCGCGGUAAUACGUAGGGUGCAAGCGUUAAUCGGAAUUACUGGGCGUAAAGCGUGCGCAGGCGGUUUUGUAAGUCUGAUGUGAAAUCCCCGGGCUCAACCUGGGAAUUGCAUUGGAGACUGCAAGGCUAGAAUCUGGCAGAGGGGGGUAGAAUUCCACGUGUAGCAGUGAAAUGCGUAGAUAUGUGGAGGAACACCGAUGGCGAAGGCAGCCCCCUGGGUCAAGAUUGACGCUCAUGCACGAAAGCGUGGGGAGCAAACAGGAUUAGAUACCCCGGUAGUCCC
This 470-nucleotide ribosomal RNA is filed under the name uncultured organism. RNAcentral describes it as "partial 16S ribosomal RNA". It matches the Rfam family "Bacterial small subunit ribosomal RNA", at positions 335 to 797 of the family's 1533-position model. The record is from RNAcentral.